Long non-coding RNA from Suricata suricatta (meerkat), 254 nucleotides. RefSeq lists it as uncharacterized. The record is from RefSeq and is a predicted model, not a curated record. The transcript is spliced from 3 exons. NCBI's taxonomy places the organism in Eukaryota, Metazoa, Chordata, Mammalia, Carnivora, Herpestidae.
GUGGUAUCCGAUUGGGUCAGGCCUGUGCGCAGGCGCUUUUGAGUGGAGCCACAUGGCCAACACAGGAUGAUAGAAGAUCUUCUGUCCUAUGCUAUUCUUACAAUGCAACAUCGACACUCCCCAAGGAAAGGUAUGAUCUAUGUCUCUAAUCCUUGAAUAUGUGACCAUGGAAGAAGUGACACUGUGUGACUUCUGAGGCUAAGUCAUAAAAGAGUGAGAGCGGAGGAGGGGCAGAGAGAGGAGACACAGAAUCU